This 497-nucleotide ribosomal RNA is filed under the name uncultured bacterium. Its description in RNAcentral is "partial 16S ribosomal RNA". It matches the Rfam family "Bacterial small subunit ribosomal RNA", at positions 28 to 507 of the family's 1533-position model. The record is from RNAcentral.
GAUGAACGCUGGCGGCGUGCCUAAUACAUGCAAGUCGAGCGAACAGACGAGGAGCUUGCUCCUUUGACGUUAGCGGCGGACGGGUGAGUAACACGUGGAUAACCUACCUAUAAGACUGGGAUAACUUCGGGAAACCGGAGCUAAUACCGGAUAACAUGUUGAACCGCAUGGUUCAACAGUGAAAGACGGUCUUGCUGUCACUUAUAGAUGGAUCCGCGCCGCAUUAGCUAGUUGGUAAGGUAACGGCUUACCAAGGCAACGAUGCGUAGCCGACCUGAGAGGGUGAUCGGCCACACUGGAAAUGAGACACGGUCCAGACUCCUACGGGAGGCAGCAGUAGGGAAUCUUCCGCAAUGGGCGAAAGCCUGACGGAGCAACGCCGCGUGAGUGAAGAAGGUCUUCGGAUCGUAAAACUCUGUUAUUAGGGAAGAACAAAUGUGUAAGUAACUAUGCACGUCUUGACGGUACCUAAUCAGAAAGCCACGGCUAACUACGUG